GAUGAACGCUAGCGGCAGGCUUAACACAUGCAAGUCGAGGGGUAACAUUGUAGCUUGCUACAGAUGACGACCGGCGCACGGGUGAGUAACGCGUAUAGAACCUACCUUUUACAGGGGAAUAGCCCAGAGAAAUUUGGAUUAAUGCCCCAUAGUAUUAUUGAAUGGCAUCAUUUAGUAAUUAAACAUUUAUGGGUAAAAGAUGGCUAUGCGUUCUAUUAGCUAGAUGGUAAGGUAACGGCUUACCAUGGCUACGAUAGAUAGGGGUCCUGAGAGGGAGAUCCCCCACACUGGUACUGAGACACGGACCAG
RNAcentral lists this ribosomal RNA (309 nucleotides) under uncultured bacterium. Its description in RNAcentral is "bacterial SSU rRNA". It matches the Rfam family "Bacterial small subunit ribosomal RNA", at positions 28 to 334 of the family's 1533-position model. The record is from RNAcentral.